Molecule: non-coding RNA, 5153 nt
Organism: Pelodiscus sinensis (Chinese soft-shelled turtle)
Lineage: Eukaryota; Metazoa; Chordata; Testudines; Trionychidae
Source: RefSeq, a predicted model, not a curated record
UGCUUGGGAUUCCUCCGUUCUAAAUGCAGGACUCUGCACCCGUCCUUGUUUCUUUUGGCUCAACCCUCCAAUGCCGCACUUAAGGUGAAAGAAUCCCAUGCACUGCUAUGGGCUGAGGACUGGCUAAGCAGCAGCUCUGCAGAAAAAGUCUAGAUCACUCUGGACCCUAUCCCUCCGUUUGGUGCAUCUACCUCUCCCCAGCUGUGUGUCCCUGUCACAAUCCAGAAAGUGGAGCCAGGCAGUGGGGAAAACCCUCCUCCAUCGGCUGCAGCUCCCUGGCACAUGCUGGCAGAAAGAGAGAAUGGAAAAACUCAGCUUUUCCUUCGGCCUAUUUGCUCCUUCCUUUAAAAACCACUCAAAGCAAGGAAAGCUGCCAGAAGACACAUUAGGGCUGUAAGAGAAGAAGGCUGCAAGCAAGGAGCUGUCAGUCAAGGGGAAGAAUAAACAGAGGGUAUUGGUUUUAUUCCAGUCACCACAGCAGUCAGAGACACCGGCUCAGUAGGAUCCCCUCCCACCCAGAGAAUGGACACGAACAACAAAUAAAGGCACAGAGAGAAACAGCCCCAGGAAUGGAUCCCAGGAGGCUCUGAGAUGGAUCUGGCCCCAGUGAGGAGUCUGGUCACCGCAUGCAGGGGAGGAGAUUCCCGGGAGGAGAGGUAGGAGGCCCAGGAGGGCAUCCCUGCAUUCCAUGCCCUUGGCAUGGUGCAGGCACAAUGAAACCUAAGCAGCACAUCACACGGAAGCCUCUGACACGACCAUUCCAGGAGCUGGCCUACAGCACAGUCAGACACAUAAUCUGGUGCGAGUAGGCUGCCUUCCAGCUCACGGCAUCCUCGAGCACUUUACAAACAUGAAAGGCGUGGAAACCCUGCGCUGACCAGGCCAGACCCACAGCAGACAUUUGCCCUGCCACUGACAGGCAGCCCUGCCAGGGGUGGGACAUGGCAGCAGGCUAGCAGGACCCACGAGGUUAGCGAGAGUCUUCUCUCAUACCCACAGUAGGUGCUGGCAAGGGAGGAGCUGAAGAGAAGCUAACACACCUGCACCCAAAGCGCAGUGUUGUGCCCACUGGGGACGAGAAGCACUGAAGGGGAAGUUGACUUCAUUAUUAGAUUCCCUCUCCACGUCAGGACAGCGGCCUGCAGUACUGGGCCCAGCCACCUCUGCAGGGAGACAUCCCGUCCACUGGUGGCUCUAAGGAGGUAGGAAGAGCUGAGACAGCUAGGUGAUGUGCAGGAGUAAGAGUACCCAGCUUCUCGCCAGGGAGUGGCUAAGGACAGACGGGCUUGGUUAGUGCCUUAAGCCCUUGAGCACCCUGUGUGGUCCGUGGGUCAGUCAGUCUGCUCACAGUGCUGUGCAAGUCACUGCUCUGUUUCUGACUCCCCGUUCCCAGACUGCUCUCGGAUCCUGCAUGCCGCACAACGCCCCCUCCCCAGAGCCCAUUGCUGCCUACCCACCCUGUCCAAGAAUGGCCCCCCGCUGCAAGCACAGAGACAGUCCCUCUCCGGGGGAGCAGACAGCCUAACGAAAGCAGAGCCAGAACUACCAGAGCCUAAGUGACAGUUGCAGCAGGGGAGGGAGAACAGAGAUUAAGGGAGACCCUUCAAUUGCCAAAACUGGCUGAAGAAGCUUCCUAUCUUGUGUCCUUCUGAAACCCCUGGAGGGUAGCCCUGGAAGGGCACAUUGCAGCUCUCCACAGUUUUCCUCUGCAGGAAGGGCAGGGCCACUAAAACCAAUCUCAGCCAUCAGCUUGGUUUUGAAAGCUGGGUACGCUGUACAGCAGUCCCGGGAUCCUUGCACAGAGAACUCAGGAGUGGCCGCGGCAGAGCAGGGCAUUGCACCGCUCACUUGUACCAAGUUUGUCACAAUGGAUAUGGGUCUUUGAAUGUUACCGUACAACAGCAGUUCUCACUGUAGGUUUUAAGGAAAGAAGAGUCUCACGGAUUUUGAGGGCUGGAAGAGCCAGUCAAAGCUCCAUCUCUUCCCAGCAUCUUUGAUCUUAUGAAGGGAGAUGGUCCACGCAAAAGGACCUAAGGAAAAGCAGCUCCUCUGGCCUCAGCUUAGCUGUGCACAGUCCUGCCCUUGACUCUGGGAUUCCCAGCAGGGCUGAGCUUUGCAGCCAGUGUUAGAUGGGCUGUUAGGCGAAUGUUCUCCUCUAUCUUCUCCCUCCUAUGAAGCAUGCCGGGCUCUCUCCUUCCAGGCUUGCCCCAUGGAGGCAAUUCUCCUUGUCAGGGAGCUGGAAAGUCUUUUGCAGGUUAUUUGGCCCUCGAGAGCUGGUGCGGAGGGGAGAACUGAUCUAUCAACACAGCUGGAAAUGUAGCAGCACUGGUUUCACAUCACCCAGUUCAUUACAGCAGGAGAUGCUUUCUAUUCAUAACCAGGAGAAAAUUGCAUUGUGAAGAGAAGCUAUUCUGUUCCUGGGGUUCAUUAUCAGGGAUCCGGACAGUGCCAACAGAAAGCUCCCUGGGCAUCCUCCAGGAAGCACCGGCAGCCAUGACCCCAUCAGACAUCACAAGUGGAGCAAGGUCUGGCAGUUCUCAGAGGAGCAGCAUUCAAGGAACCCUUGGAUGCUCCGGUUGGAGCAGACACCCAGGGCAGGAUCUGAAAUGUGCUGACACUUCUCCCGCCACUUUCCUCUCUGGUAAAGCCACAGAUUACACCUGCAACCAGUAUACGCUGACCCAAUGCCUCUUUCCUGGAACUAACAAGGAAAAUAAAAGUAUAAAGCAGUAUGCCUGGUGGUGUAAUGCUGUUUGUUGUAUUCAUUUCACUAUCUAGCUUAUUGCAUUUGGUUUGGCUUUACAUUUUUCUUGAAAAAUUAACAGAAAAGUUUUUUUAAACUGUCCAGACUUGGCACAUGUAUUUCCACAGCAGUCCAGUUUAUGAAAAGUCAGAUCAAAUAAAAUGAGUACCAGUGUCUCUGUUACCCUCCAGCCACACGCGCUGUGGUGGGUUUACAGAUCUGGCGGUUAACCUCCAAAUGGUCUGGGGCUCUGAGAACACCAGGAAUUCAAGAUUUGCCACAUCACAGUAAAACGUCCUGGUCUUACCGUGAUCUGAAUAUGCUGUAACUCUGGUUCUGGUCAUACGCAUUUUUAAAAAUCACAUUUCAAUUGAUGUGCAUCUGCAGGCACUGCUAAUGGGCAAAGGACUCUAGGUAGAUUUUAGAAGUGCUGGCACAUCCCACUAACCCCAAGUUUCUAGCUCUACACUGAGGAGGAUUCUCUACUCCACCCCCAAACAAUUUAUAUAUCCGUGCCCUAGAAAAAUAUCUGAGUAAAGCCAUUAGGAAUAUUUCUGACAGCUGCUGGCAGGGGCACAAGCCCUCUGACAGCAUCUAAGAGUCUGUCCACACUGCCACUAGACCUCUGCAGCUGGCCAGUGCCACCUGACUUAGGCGACGGGCUCCGACUAAAAGGCUGUGGAUUAGUAGUGUAGAUAUUUGGGUUUGGGCUGCAGCCUGGACUCUGGGACUCUCCCACCUCCCAGAGUCUUAGAGCCUGUUCUAAGUUUAACCCAACUGCUCUGGAUCCCCACAAACACUGAGAGCGCUAAGGGGAGUUUGCCCCAUGACCACAUGGCAGUGUGGAAUUGUCUCUGAAGGAGUAUUUCCAUCCCCUGAACUCUGAUUACUGAGAAACUCUGUCACAACAAACUGCCUUAGGAAUGAAUGCCCUGGGCUGUUCUCCUAAGGACCUGACCACUUCUGGUUUGGCCAUGCUGGUGGGUUGUGUAAGAGUGGGAAGAAUAUUCAGACACUGAUGACAAGCCUGUGGUUAAAUGUUUAUUCCUCUUCUCAGGGUUUGCCUGCUAAGGAGAUGCCAUAAUGGCUCAUUCCUUGCAUUCUAGUCUCUGUAGAUGUAAUGUGCAUUGCAGGGACUUCCAGAAACAGCAAAAAACAGUUGCUUUGAGUCUGCCAGUCUGACUUCAGGGAAACAGCUCUUCCUCCCAGAUCUAUAUAUUUUUGCUCCGAGCAAAGGGGUUUCUAGAUAUUACACUUUCCCUUUAAGUGCACAUCUCCGGUGCCUUGAGGCAAGGCUUGUAGCUGUUCCCUGUAGUCAAACGUAAAGUCCAAGUUGGCCUUUUGGGUUUAUUAACAGUUGCUUGGAUGUUUCUUUGCUGACUCACUCCACAUGGGGCUCAGCAGGCAUGGACACCACCACUCUUCUGGAAAAGUCCUGGCUGGGUUAAACAGCGUUUGCUUGGUCACAGGGGAAGUCUCUCCCUUUCCAGCCACAGACUGGACGUGCAAUGUAAUGCUGGCUCCAUUUGCUACAGGCAACUCAACUGAGUAGCAAAGUGCAGAUGUUCAGCUGAGCCCCCGUGUAAAGACCAGGCAUGAUCAAAUAGGAAACCCGAUUGCUAGGAGAUAAGAAAGGUGUCUACUUGUAAAGAAAAGCCUCUAGUGCAGAGGUUCACACAGCGUGGUCCGCAACCCUCUUGCACAGAGAUGGGCAACAAUUUUUUGCCGGGGGCCACUUGGGAAAUUUUUGAAGUGGGCCCAGACUGCACAGGAAGAGAUGGGGCAUCGAGUGGAAGGGGCGGGGCCAAUGUGUUUCCAGGUUCCCCACCCCCAGAUAAUGAUUGGUCUUGAGGCGAGGGAGUGCCUUUGUCCCCACCCCAUGUUUCCCCAAGGUGCCGAGGCCCUUGGCGUGGGAGGAGACUGCCCUUGCUCCCCUGCCCCUAGGCCAAUUAGGACCUGGGGGCGAGAGAGCACGCGAAGCCUUCUACACUCUGCCCCCACCCUUCCAAGAGCACACGGUGCUAUGAAGCUUCCCCACCCCCAGGCCCUAAUUGGCCUGGGAGGAUGAGAGCAGCAGAGCCUCCGUGGGCCGGAUCCACCCACUUGGUUGCCUGGAUCCAGCCCACAAGAGGCCCUUUUGUCCACAGGUGGCUCUUGCAGGUGGGCCGGGGGCUCAGGAUUCGGCCUGCCAUCGCAGCAGGGAGUCCGCGCUGGCCCUCCAGCCCCUCACCCCACUGUGCGGUUGGAGUUCCAACACCGGCUUCCAGCUACAGGGGGGGAAGGGAGGCAAGGGAGCCUCGUGGGCACAGGAGCAGGAUGCGGCCCCAUGCACUGCUGAGGCUCGCCAGGAGGCUUUCCCCGCUGCUCCCGUUGGCUAGAAUCCCAGAGGGGGGUAGUGACUGGCAGCGGU